This 305-nucleotide ribosomal RNA is filed under the name uncultured bacterium. Its description in RNAcentral is "bacterial SSU rRNA". It matches the Rfam family "Bacterial small subunit ribosomal RNA", at positions 335 to 634 of the family's 1533-position model. The record is from RNAcentral.
GUCCUACGGGGGGCAGCAGUAGGGAAUUCUCGUCAAUGGGCGCAAGCCUGAACGAGCAAUGCCGCGUGAACGAGGAAGGUCUUCGGAUCGUAAAGUUCUGUUGAAGGGGAAAAAGAGCGGAGAGAGGAAAUGGUCUCCGAUUGAUAUUACCCUUCGAGGAAGUCACGGCUAACUACGUGCCAGCAGCCGCGGUAAUACGUAGGUGGCGAGCGUUAUCCGGAAUGAUUGGGCGUAAAGGGUGCGUAGGCGGCCCGCUAAGUCUGGAGUGAAAGGUACCGGCUCAACCGGUACAGGCUCUGGAAACG